CCUACGGGCGGCUGCAGUGGGGAAUAUUGCGCAAUGGGCGAAAGCCUGACGCAGCAACGCCGCGUGAGGGAUGACGGCCUUCGGGUUGUAAACCUCUUUCAGCAGGGAAGAAGCGAAAGUGACGGUACCUGCAGAAGAAGCACCGGCUAACUACGUGCCAGCAGCCGCGGUAAUACGUAGGGUGCAAGCGUUGUCCGGAUUUAUUGGGCGUAAAGAGCUCGUAGGCGGUUAGUCACGUCGGAUGUGAAAACCCGGAGCUUAACUCCGGGCCUGCAUUCGAUACGGGCUGACUAGAGUGUUGUAGGGGAGACUGGAACUCCUGGUGUAGCGGUGAAAUGCGCAGAUAUCAGGAAGAACACCGGUGGCGAAGGCGGGUCUCUGGGCAACUACUGACGCUGAGGAGCGAAAGCGUGGGGAGCAAACAGGAUUAGAUACCCCAGUAGUC
This 445-nucleotide ribosomal RNA is filed under the name uncultured Actinomycetes bacterium. RNAcentral describes it as "bacterial SSU rRNA". It matches the Rfam family "Bacterial small subunit ribosomal RNA", at positions 338 to 795 of the family's 1533-position model. Lineage: Bacteria; Bacillati; Actinomycetota; Actinomycetes. The record is from RNAcentral.